RNAcentral lists this ribosomal RNA (253 nucleotides) under uncultured bacterium. RNAcentral's name for it is "partial 16S ribosomal RNA". It matches the Rfam family "Bacterial small subunit ribosomal RNA", at positions 524 to 776 of the family's 1533-position model. The record is from RNAcentral.
UACGUAGGUGGCUAGCGUUGUCCGGAUUUACUGGGCGUAAAGAGCGCGCAGGCGGUCGUUCAAGUCGAGUGUGAAAGCCCCCGGCUCAACUGGGGAGGGUCAUUCGAUACUGAUCGACUCGAAGGCAGGAGAGGGAAGCGGAAUUCCCGGUGUAGUGGUGAAAUGCGUAGAUAUCGGGAGGAACACCAGUGGCGAAGGCGGCUUUCUGGCCUGUUCUUGACGCUGAGGCGCGAAAGCUAGGGUAGCAAACGGG